CUCUCUCUCUCUCUCUGUGCUUCCCAAUAAAUUUCUUUUCGUUUUCUCUUUUAUUUUUCUCCUGUCGGUAAAGUAAGAAGAAGACGCUCAAUGUUUCAGCUGCUUGUGCUACACCCCAUGUCCGACUGGAAAGACUUUCGCUACUUUCUUAGACUUAGAUUUACGAGGUGUUAAUUUCAUGUGAUUUUCAUAUUAUAAACUCUUGCUGCCUUGCAUUUGAGUUUUUUUAAUUUUUUUUUUCAAAGAUCGGGAUGAAAUGUAAACCAUAAAGGACUAUCAUUCAGAAAAAUUUCAAAGGAACUUUGGGAUGGAUUCCACUUUCAUCAGUGAAGCCAUAGCCGACUGCAUCGUGUUCAUAAAGAAGAUUGCCGACAAGGAGAACAACUCUUCUGCAAAGUUGCACUUUUCAUUUUUUGUUUUUUGGGAUGUUUUCUUGCGAUUGGGAAUCUGAGCUUGAUAAUUUGAUAUUGUAAACAGAUCUAAGAUAUAGAUGAUAGAAAUAUUUUGUAAAU
Juglans microcarpa x Juglans regia is the source of this 512-nucleotide long non-coding RNA. RefSeq lists it as uncharacterized. NCBI's taxonomy places the organism in Eukaryota, Viridiplantae, Streptophyta, Magnoliopsida, Fagales, Juglandaceae. The transcript has 2 exons. The record is from RefSeq and is a predicted model, not a curated record.